UAUUUCACUAUGAUGAGGAAGAGUAAUGAUAAAUAUCUUUAAAGAGAGAUUGUGGUAGGUGCGAAUAAUCAUGAGUUUAUCGCGAAGGGAGCUUCGGAGUGAUGUAGAACUAAGAGUAGGGCUAAGGCCAAAAAGGGUGGAACCGCGGAAUAAGUAUUCGUCCCUUUA
This 168-nucleotide non-coding RNA is filed under the name Clostridium magnum. RNAcentral's name for it is "T-box sequence". It matches the Rfam family "T-box leader". From Rfam's summary of the family: Uncharged tRNA acts as the effector for transcription antitermination of genes in the T-box leader family. Lineage: Bacteria; Bacillati; Bacillota; Clostridia; Eubacteriales; Clostridiaceae. The record is from RNAcentral.